RNAcentral lists this unclassified non-coding RNA (361 nucleotides) under uncultured Acidimicrobiia bacterium. Its description in RNAcentral is "contains 16S-23S intergenic spacer region". The record is from RNAcentral. Lineage: Bacteria; Bacillati; Actinomycetota; Acidimicrobiia.
UCCGGGUUUCGCCCGGCAGUCUCCCUAGAUUAUUCAACAUAGGACAAGGGUUGCGCUCGUUGCGGGACUUAACCCAACAUCUCACGACACGAGCUGACGACAACCAUGCACCACCUGUGUACGGCCCAAAAGGACACCGUAUCUCUACGGCUUUUCCGUACAUGCCAAACCCAGGUAAGGUUCUUCGCGUUGCCUCGAAUUAAGCAACAUGCUCCGCCGCUUGUGCGGGCCCCCGUCAAUUCCUUUGAGUUUUAGCCUUGCGGCCGUACUCCCCAGGCGGGGCACUUAAUGCGUUAGCUACGGCACAGAUCCCGUUGGUUGAGACCCACACCUAGUGCCCAACGUUUACGGCGUGGACUAC